UACAGAGGGGGCAAGCGUUAUUCGGAAUUAUUGGGCGUAAAGGGCGCGUAGGCGGCCUGGCAAGUGGAAGGUGAAAUCCCUCGGCUUAACCGAGGAACUGCCCUCCAAACUGCUUGGCUUGAGUCCGGGAGAGGUGAGUGGAAUUCCCAGUGUAGCGGUGAAAUGCGUAGAUAUUGGGAAGAACACCGGUGGCGAAGGCGGCGACCUGGUUGAUAACUGACGCUGAGGCGCGAAAGCGUGGGGAGCAAACAGG
RNAcentral lists this ribosomal RNA (253 nucleotides) under uncultured bacterium. RNAcentral describes it as "partial 16S ribosomal RNA". It matches the Rfam family "Bacterial small subunit ribosomal RNA", at positions 524 to 776 of the family's 1533-position model. The record is from RNAcentral.